This 253-nucleotide ribosomal RNA is filed under the name uncultured bacterium. RNAcentral's name for it is "partial 16S ribosomal RNA". It matches the Rfam family "Bacterial small subunit ribosomal RNA", at positions 524 to 776 of the family's 1533-position model. The record is from RNAcentral.
UACGUAGGGUGCGAGCGUUGUCCGGAAUUACUGGGCGUAAAGAGCUCGUAGGUGGUUUGUCGCGUUGUCCGUGAAAACUCACAACUCAAUUGUGGGCGUGCGGGCGAUACGGGCAGACUGGAGUACUGCAGGGGAGACUGGAAUUCCUGGUGUAGCGGUGGAAUGCGCAGAUAUCGGGAAGAACACCCGUGGCGAAGGCGGUUCUCUGGGACGGUACUGACGCUGAGACGCGAAAGCGUGGGGAGCGAACAGG